CGAGCGGCGAACGGGUGAGUAACACGUGAGCAAUCUGCCCUUCACACUGGGAUAACCCCCGGAAACGGGUGCUAAUACCGGAUACGACCACUUCAGACAUCUGAUGGUGGUGGAAAGCUCCGGCGGUGGAGGAUGAGCUCGCGGCCUAUCAGCUUGUUGGUGAGGUAACGGCUCACCAAGGCUUCGACGGGUAGCCGGCCUGAGAGGGUGACCGGCCACACUGGGACUGAGACACGGCCCAG
This 242-nucleotide ribosomal RNA is filed under the name uncultured bacterium. RNAcentral's name for it is "partial 16S ribosomal RNA". It matches the Rfam family "Bacterial small subunit ribosomal RNA", at positions 92 to 334 of the family's 1533-position model. The record is from RNAcentral.